UGGUAAUAGCUAAUUUAGACCCCCAUCAUUUUGUAUAUAUAGUUGGGAUUAUGGCCACCUCCCUGUUCAACAUAUUCAUAGAGAUCCUGUCACACACAGAGGUGGUGCAACCUAGUGGUUAGAACAGGAGUCUGGCCUACUGGUUGCAGAAGAAUCAACAGGCAGAGCUGGAGAAAAGCCAAUGUGGUUGGAGCCAGGAGUUCUGAGGAAGCUCCUCCAGUUCAGCCAUUGUGGUCUCAAGAGCUCCACCUUACCCCCCUGCAGAUCAUUCUACUAAAGGCAAUAGGAUUGCUUAUGGAAUAAGCUGGUAUUCAGCAUGAGUAAGCCACACUGAGAAGAAGCAGAAAGUGCAUCAGGAAACUGACUGAGCUUUCUUUAGCGUGGGAAUGAAAACACAUGUGGGACCGAUGGGCACUUUUGGCCUUGGUUUACCUGCCUGGGCUCUUGAGAUGUGUCAUCCAGAAGAAUCAUUUGAAAUGAGAUCACAAGGACUUUCAUUCGCAGACAAACAGUACAAAUGAGUUUCUAUUUCUACCUCAGAGAGUGGUUUGGAGCUAGUUGAGUAGCUAGGAGCUUUGCAUUGGUUCAGUUCCCAGCUUCUUGCUCUAGAAUGUGCCUGGAUUUGAGUCUGCAUAAGCCUGGCCCAAGCAGAAGGCAAAAAAUAAACAGCUGGAGUUUGGCAGGACAAAGAGGGGUCAGUGCAGAAAGGGAGUUGCCUAGAUCUGUGACAUGCAAUUUGUGGCUUUAGAGCCACAUAUCUGGGCUCCCUGGACAGUUAUUCUAACAGAGUCCACAGCCUUCCUGAGGUUAUGGUAGAAACUGGAUUCUCAGACAACAGGCCUUCGAGGCCCGGGGCUGCUGGGGUGGCCAUUUCAGAUGGGCAGGCAAACAAGGACAAGGGGGAUCCUCAGGAGCAGCUGGCGCAUAUCAUUGGCAAUUAAUAAAUAUAGAACAAGAAUGAUUUAGCAGUGGCAGCUGUGCUGAUUGGCUUAGGAAAAGCCUGCGUAGCUGAGGAGCAUCAUUCUGACCAGAGGGGGUUUUGGGGGGGGAAAACAGGUGGUGCAGAGGUUGGAGCUGCACAGACAGGUGAGGAGAACUAUCCUGUGCAAAGACAGGCUGGAUGCCUAUGGGAUUGAUAGAACAAAUGGCUCACCAGGGUUAAAAGUUCUCAUAUUAGGGCCCAUGGUUGUCCAUUGCAUUGGGUCACUGCUGGGAUACCUCUGAUCAUUCAAGCAGUGAGGAAUGUGGGAGGAGAGAUACAGGUAUUACCCCUCAACAGCUUCACAUUGUGUUCUAAUAUGCUACAUUGUGAUGUUGCGCAGUAUCCAGGCAGAACAAAGUUGAGCAGCAGUGAGGCAACGUUAAGACACUUCUGUGGCUGUCUGAAAUUCUAUUUGGUGGCUCUUCACCACCCCUGCUAGGACAUCACCAUUUUUCUAACCCAGGCUGUCUGGAGGGAACUCUGGAGAUAUCCAAAGCAAUAUUUUUCUCUCUGCCCCGACUAUAAAUCUGAGUGUCUGGGCCAAAUUCCAUUUAAAACAACAUUCUGCUUAAAUCCCCCUUGCAGGUUCAGCUGAGUACUGUAUUCUUCACUUCUAAGCAUAAGCAUAUGGAACCAGAAGUGUAAACUGAUGUUUCUUGAAGUCAAUGGAGAAACACAGAGUUACACCAGUUGAGAAUUUAGCCCAUGUGGUAUUGAUGUGCACUGUUGCCAUAUUCCACACCAGAGGUGGUUGCAUUUCAGUAGUGGGUAAGCUCUUUAGGGCAGGAUCCAUCUCUUCGUUGUAUGUACAGCGCCUAGCACAAUGGAGUCCUGAUCCAUGAUUUGGAGCCUUAGGAGUUACCCCAAUAUAAAUAAAUAAUAAUGGUCUCUUCACCUGCAUAUCAUGGUUAGCCGAAUCAUGUUUCCUUUCUCCACUAUCUCAUGAGAAGUGAAAAUAAAUUCAAAGUUUAAAACCAUUUACCAGAUGUUAACUGGAAUCAUUUUACAUAUGGUAUAACACAUUCUGCAGAGAUUCAGUAGAAAUGACUUGAGCAUGCUGCAGCUGAGGUGCAUUGAAAAAAUGAAUACAGAUGCUUGUCACGAGAGAACAAAAAUAACUUUUCAGUAGAAUACCUGAGGUUUAAAAAGUUGCACAAACUGUCAAGCCUCUUAUUUUGGGUACGUCCCAGUCCUGUCUGUUAUUAAAUGCUGCCAUAUGGCAGUAGAGAUGGACGGGUUUUGUUUCACUUAAGGGGAACAAUACAUUAGUGACAGGUUUCUUGGAGCCUAGUGGUGGUGCGUGCAGCUAUGAAAUUCUGAUGCCUUUGUUUGGUGCUCCUCGUGGAAAAGUGCUGUAGGUUUAUGGUGUGAGACCAAUAGGUCUCCAUAGAACUUGGUCUAAAAUCCUAUCAAAUGUAAUAUAGAAUAAGUGUCUGUUUUAAAAACGUACUUAAUAGAACUUCAUAGAGAAUUGUAUCCCCACUGUGCAAUCUUUUAGGUUGGUUUAAAAAUCCCACAGAAGGGAGAUCAUGGACAUAAUAAUAUAACCAUGCUCAGUGCUGUAUAAAUUAAGCUUUGAAUUAAAUAGGUACAGAAUGGGAAUAAAUGGGGCAUACACUUUUAACAGCGCCAUAUUAUGUAUAUCUUUCCAUCUGGCUAAGUGAAGAAUUAAAGAUCUCUCUCGAAAGAUGUUGAUCACUCAAAGUGAUUAGAAGUCAGCGGUAAAUGUAGUGCGGUGCUGUGAGUGCUAUUUUGCAAUGGAAAUGACUUCUUCAUGGAUCUGUAAGCAGCAUAUUGAAUUCUGAGGGUUUUGUUGGUAGGAUUGUGGCCAGAUUUAAUGAAUGAAUCCCUGACUAUUUCAGAACAAAACUCAUUUUUAUGAUGGUAGCAUCUAGAAGCCCCAACCAAAAGCAGGGCUCCAUUGUGCUAGACGACGUACAAAAUGCAUAGUGAGAGACUGCUGAUGACCUCAGAGCUUACAAUCAAAAUAGACAAGAUAGACAAAUGGUAGGGAAAAGUAAUAUUAUUACCCCAUGUCACGGGGUGCUCUACUCACCCCUGGAGCACCUCCUUGUGGCCAUGGCUGGGGAUUAGCUCUGUCAGUCCAAUGCCUCUUCCUGCAGGUGCUCAGACUGUCUCGCUCUCAAAUCUCAACUGCUCCCUCUUCAUGGCUAGGUCCUCCGGCCACCUCACUGGAGUUUUCCCCCUUCCAGAGGUUUGUGUUCUAAAAUCUCUCUGCACUCACUGUCCCAGGCAGUCUUCCAAUUCACUGCCUCUCAAUGGUGCCACUUUCCCAGGGGCUAAUAGGGGAACCCAGGCCCACCAUCUUCUCUGUGUUCCUGCCCAGGGACCCUACAACCAGCAGCUAAGGUCUGCAGUGUCCCACGCCUUGCUGCUGUUUCCUAUGUUACCUCCACCAUCCUCCAGGCCAAAGUCCCCUUCUUCCUUAGACUCAGAGAGAGUGGCUGAAAACCUCCUCGCUGCAUCCCCUUGGCUACCUGGCUUUAAAUGAGCCCUGGCUUUUCCUGCCCAGGUGAGCUUAUCCUUUAGUUUGUCCUCAUUGCUUCUUGGCUCCUCCCCCAGGCGAAGCCUAGGCAGUGUAACCCCUUUAGUGGUGGGUGUGGGGUGAACACCCCAUCACAUGCCAUUUUACAGAUGGAAAACUGAAGCCCAGAGAAGGGAAGUGGCUUGCCCAAACUCACACAGGGAGUCUAUGGCAAAGCUAGUAAUUGAAUAGUGAAAACUGACGAGUCAGAGAAACCACAGAGGCGCUGUAGGAGACAUAAAUAAUGAACCGUUGUAAAGUACUUUGACAUCCCCUCAUGACAUCUUUGAUAGAAGUACAAAAUGUUGUUGGUAGAGCUUACCAUGGUAUAGAUGAUGCUGAGAAGUCCCAAACCGCUUACUUGGGGUGGGGGGUAUUGUAAUAUAAUUAGAAGACCCCCCGCAAUGAGUGCUUCAUUCAAACCAGGAUGUGUGGAGACCUUGGUGCAGAUUCUAAGCUGUGCCUCAUCUGUGCUGGGUACAGCAGGAGAUGCCAAAGAGCUCUUGGUGGUUCCUUGAUGCUGGGGUAGUUUAGAGCAGCCUCAGGGCUGCUUUAACACGGGCUGGCGGCUGAGCACUUCUGAAAAUUGAUCUCCAAAUGCAUGUGCUGCAUGCUAGUCCCAUACCUGUAAUUGUACCCCAUACCUGAAAAUCUGCCCCUGACUACUUUUAAAAAUUUCCCCAUAGUGUGCAGAAUUCUUUCUAUAACCCCAGUUUCAGGAUUCCUUACUUCUGAUUCCUAAUUUUCAACAAUGAAACUGAGAGGGACCCCAAAUUUGUGGGCAAUGUAAGCAACUUUGGGACUGAAAUGAGGGGUAUGCAGGUUAUACAUUUGGAGUGGGUAAAACUGACCAAAUCCCAGUUAAAACACAGUGAAACUCCUCUGAAACCCAUGAUUUCAUCUUGCCGAUUUUACAUUUCAACCAGAUAUCCUGCCAUCAGUUUUCUUUGUUUAGAUACAACAGACAUUGCUACACAGCACCACACUGCAAUCUAAAAGUAAGUGGAUUAAAUAUAUAACAGUUGACAAGGCUGCAGAUAGGGAGGUUAGAGAGCACAUAUGUGGAAUGUAUAAACUGUGCUAAUUAAGCUUUAGCGGAAACAAUUUAGACUGUCAGUCUAGCUGGUAUAAAUUUGUCCUCCCUCUUUUGUUUGAUUUGUGUAUAGCCUCAAUCUUAGCCUGACUCUCUGAAUUAAGCUCAGCAGGAAAAUACACAGGGAUUCUACUUAAUAGCUAAGACAACUUCCAUACCUCCUAGAACAGAAGCACAACAUCCUCUUUGUUUUCUCAGUUAUACUAAAUAUGGGCAAAUAGGUAUAUAGCAGCAAAUUGCAUAUGCAAUUAACAGGAUUGUUACUGGGAAAAUUAAAGACAAAUAGCAAAUAUAUAUAUAUAGUUGUCGUCUGACUGAAUGUGGGAACGUUUCCUUGGAAAAAUUUCCCACAUGAUUAUGUUUUAUAAACCUAAGUUCUUACUAUCCUUCCCAGUAAUCAGGUCCCAUGGGACUACUGUAUUCUGAUGUGGAAACAAAACCUAGCAAACAAUCUACAUUAUUUAGCAAUAAUAUGUAUUUCGGUUAAAGGGACAUUGUCAAAGAUAUCAUCAAAUCAUAUGUGCACUCUCUCUAUAAAACCUCACUUAAAUUUCUAACAUCACCUCAUUUAAAAUGGAAAGUAUGGUUUGAAUCUUUUUUAUUUUCCAAUAUGUGCUAACUUUUAAAUGUUCCAGGCAACAUGUACAAGGAAAUUAGAUUAGUCAGUUUCACAUGGUUUCCAGCUCUCAUGUGCCAUCACAAUACUACACAGUUUGAAUUGGAAACACUGCAAGAGGACAUUGCAAUCCCAAACAGCUCAUCCCGACAUUGCUACUUUUAGCUUUUAACAGCCAUAUGGGAAGAAUCUGAGCAGUGGCUCUCAACCUUUCCAGACUAUUGUAACCCUUUCAGGUGUCUGAUUUGUCUUGCGUACCCCCAAGUUUCACCUCACUUAAAAACUACUUGCUUACAAAA
Chrysemys picta bellii (western painted turtle) is the source of this 5535-nucleotide non-coding RNA. The record is from RefSeq and is a predicted model, not a curated record. NCBI's taxonomy places the organism in Eukaryota, Metazoa, Chordata, Testudines, Emydidae.